RNAcentral lists this unclassified non-coding RNA (241 nucleotides) under Coleofasciculus chthonoplastes C6. RNAcentral's name for it is "partial contains 16S ribosomal RNA and 16S-23S ribosomal RNA intergenic spacer". The stretch from base 1 to 97 matches the Rfam family "Bacterial small subunit ribosomal RNA", at positions 1439 to 1533 of the family's 1533-position model. The record is from RNAcentral. Lineage: Bacteria; Bacillati; Cyanobacteriota; Cyanophyceae; Coleofasciculales; Coleofasciculaceae.
CCGUUCGCGGAGGAGGACGCCGAAGGCAGGGCUGGUGACUGGGGUGAAGUCGUAACAAGGUAGCCGUACCGGAAGGUGUGGCUGGAUCACCUCCUUUAUAGGGAGACCCGACCAGAGUCAAGGUGAAAAAAAUCAAUUAACCUGACUCUCGGACAAUCCCGAGGUCGUUCGGGGUGAAAUGGAAAUCGUUGUUUCAAACUGAGUUCGGUUCGGAGUAAGGGCUAUUAGCUCAGGUGGUUAG